This 400-nucleotide unclassified non-coding RNA is filed under the name uncultured fungus. RNAcentral's name for it is "sequence contains ITS1". The record is from RNAcentral. Lineage: Eukaryota; Fungi.
GGACUACAAGGGUAUCUAAUCCUGUUUGCUCCCCACGCUUUCGCAUCUGAGCGUCAGUCUUUGUCCAGGGGGCCGCCUUCGCCACUGGUAUUCCUUCAGAUCUCUACGCAUUUCACCGCUACACCUGAAAUUCUACCCCCCUCUACAAGACUCUAGCCUGCCAGUUUCAAAUGCAAUUCCGAGGUUAAGCCCCGGGCUUUCACAUCUGACUUAACAGGCCGCCUGCAUGCGCUUUACGCCCAGUAAUUCCGAUUAACGCUCGCACCCUCCGUAUUACCGCGGCUGCUGGCACGGAGUUAGCCGGUGCUUCUUCUGUAGGUAACGUCAAAUAAUGCAGGUGUUAACUACACUACCUUCCUCCCUACUGAAAGUGCUUUACAACCCGAAGGCCUUCUUCACA